CCGCUCAACGGGGCGGCGUGCAGGGUAGACUACAAGACUAGGGACCAGGUGAGGGGGACGGUAUUCCGUGGGGAGCGGUAAAAUGUGAUAAUCCUCGGAGGACCACCAAUGGCGAAGGCAGUUCACCAAAAUGGAUCCGACGGUGAGGGAUGAAAGCUAGGGGAGCGAUCCGGAUUAGAUACCCCAGUAGUCCUAGCUGUAAACUCUGCGUGCCAGAGGUUGCGUAAUCUCCGAGAUUGCGCAGUGUCGUAACGAAGGUGUUUAAGCACGCCACCUGGGAAGUACGGUCGCAAGGUUGAGACUUAAAGGAAUUGGCGGGGGAGCACCACAAGGGGUGAAGCGUGCGUUUCGACUGUACUCAACGCCGGGGAAACUUACAAGGGGAGACAGCAGAAUGACAGUCAGGUUGACGACCUUACGUCGACGAGCAGAGAGGAGGGGCAUGGCCGUCGCCAGUUCGUGCUGUGAGGUACCGUGUUAAGUCAGGCAACGAACGAGAUCCGCGCCUUUAUUUGCCAUCA
RNAcentral lists this ribosomal RNA (521 nucleotides) under uncultured euryarchaeote. RNAcentral's name for it is "bacterial SSU rRNA". It matches the Rfam family "Archaeal small subunit ribosomal RNA", at positions 555 to 1072 of the family's 1478-position model. Lineage: Archaea; Methanobacteriati; Methanobacteriota. The record is from RNAcentral.